RNAcentral lists this ribosomal RNA (234 nucleotides) under Triticum aestivum (bread wheat). RNAcentral's name for it is "partial small subunit ribosomal RNA". Lineage: Eukaryota; Viridiplantae; Streptophyta; Magnoliopsida; Poales; Poaceae. The record is from RNAcentral.
AUGUUGCCUCCCCUGCCCCCACCUGUGGUCGUUGCCGACGAGAACGAAGAAGAGGUUUUCUCUGGUCAGUACAAGGCAAAUAAGGUCCUAAGUGACGACGUCGACAGCGACCAAGAAACCCAGAGGAUCUACAGGAGGCAGAAGGCGAGGGAGCUGAACAGUGGUGUGCUCGAGAAACGUAUCAGGCCAAGAAUCGGAAGGGGGGCUACGGAUGCCCUUACUGCAACAAGCUGA